AUAACUUCGGGAAACCGGAGCUAAUACCGGAUAAUAUUUCGAACCGCAUGGUUCGAUAGUGAAAGGUGGUUUUGCUAUCACUUAUAGAUGGACCCGCGCCGUAUUAGCUAGUUGGUAAGGUAACGGCUUACCAAGGCGACGAUACGUAGCCGACCUGAGAGGGUGAUCGGCCACACUGGAACUGAGACACGGUCCAGACUCCUACGGGAGGCAGCAGCC
This 219-nucleotide ribosomal RNA is filed under the name uncultured Staphylococcus sp. RNAcentral describes it as "partial 16S ribosomal RNA". It matches the Rfam family "Bacterial small subunit ribosomal RNA", at positions 143 to 355 of the family's 1533-position model. Lineage: Bacteria; Bacillati; Bacillota; Bacilli; Caryophanales; Staphylococcaceae. The record is from RNAcentral.